GUUAGUUGGAGCCUUGGAGGUCUUUGAAGUUGGAAAUUGUCUGAUUUUCAGCAUUGCUGAUAUGUGAAAACUUUGGAAUUGGUUAUUUUAUUGAGCUAUUUAUGGUGUUUGACAAGUAUUUCUACAGAGUUUAUUCUCUGACAUUUUCUCUCUUUCCUGUUUUCCCGAUUUGGUGAUAAGUAUAGGUACUUAUUCUCUGACGUUUUCCCCCUUUCCUGUUUUGGUUAAAAAUAAUAUACAAGCAUACUGAACUGAAAAAUGGAAAAUAGAUAGCUUCAUCAGGGCUUCAGAGAUGAGAUUGGCUAAUGCUUCCAUAGUGAGAAGAAUUAGUUGGCUGGUUAAUCAUUAGUGGUAAACUUCACAUUUAUAGAUGAUUAAGAGCAAAGUUGAAGAGGUGCCACUGUUUGGGGCAGUGGCAAAAAUUUUUGGUGUGCGAGUCCAAGGACACAUUUUUAGUAUUUCAGCCAUCUUAUGAUAAAAAUACUGGAAGGUAGUGGCUCCAGGUCUACCCUGAGUAUUUUCUUUUGUUAGGAUGGUAACAUGGUAAUAGCCUUUAAACUCAUUGCUGGAGAUUGCAUGAUCUCCUUACUGGCCUUGCAAUUUCUCAUCAUGUUGGAUGAAUUGCUCUCUUGUGCUCUGAUGUGUAUAUGUUAUUUGUUUACUGUUGGAUUCGGAUUUAUUGAUUUAUGUAAGGAAACUCUAAGUAAUAAAACUA
RNAcentral lists this unclassified non-coding RNA (715 nucleotides) under Hevea brasiliensis (rubber tree). The record is from RNAcentral. Lineage: Eukaryota; Viridiplantae; Streptophyta; Magnoliopsida; Malpighiales; Euphorbiaceae.